GAGCCCGACGCGGGGCUCGAACCCACGGACCGCGAGAUCGUGACCUGAGCCGAAGUCGGACGCUCCACCGACGGAGCCACCCAGGCGCCCCAAGACACAAUGGAGCUUUAAACUGAGUGAGCACAGGGUCCCUCUGAACGCAGGCCCAGGCCACGUGGCUGUGAAGCUGGCCCUCCUCGGAGCCUUCUGGAAGACGACCCCUCCUCUGUGCGGCACUCCUCGGUCGCUCAGACCACUGGGUCUUUCCAAGAAAUGAUGCUGCAGCCGCCUGAAAGCUUCUUCCGUCUUUCCAGCGUUAGGAAGAAGCAACUCACUCCCUCAUUCAGCAGUUCCGCCCCUGUCCCCGCUCUGAAACGCUCGUUCACCUGGACUUCCAGCCAUGAGCAAACCAGAUAAAUAGUCCAGGAAGGACCGGAGACAGCUCACAAAGCAAGAAAGACGGUGGCACUGACCCCUCUCCGAAGGCGCGGAGCCCAGAAGGGAGUUCCCUCCGGACCCGGCUUCCUCCCUCAGCGCCAACGUCUCGAAGCUCUUCUCCCCCCUAGAAGCUGUGACUCUUGAAAGCAGGGAUCCCCACAACGCCGAAGACGGCGGCCGGGUGGACAGAACCCCAGACGUGGCGUCCCAGGGGGAGGUCGAGCCCAGAACAGACAGCCAGCCUCUCUCGGAAAGAGCAGGCGAACACCAGUGAACCUUCGGUACUAUGCUUUCUGGACUCCGUAAGCGUCCUUUUCCGCCUUCUUGCCUCCUGACACGCGACCGGCAAGGGUCAGCGUUUGGGCCGGGCCUGGCCUGGGGCUGGGUCACCUCUGCCCCUACCACCACCUUAGCCCGCCUUCCAUCAUGGCUACCCACCCUCCUGUCACUCAAGACCUGACUUCCUCAAG
Molecule: long non-coding RNA, 887 nt
Organism: Herpailurus yagouaroundi (jaguarundi)
Lineage: Eukaryota; Metazoa; Chordata; Mammalia; Carnivora; Felidae
Exons: 2
Source: RefSeq, a predicted model, not a curated record